UCUGUUUUAUGGAUGAGUGGAGGAAGCGAAAGAGUAGGAAACGUGUUACAUUCGGUCCAUCGAACGUAUCGUUGCGUAUUGUAUUUGUAUGUACGUAUGUAAUUAGCAUGCGGUGUGAGCAUGGGAGACGGUUUACAUUUCAAAAUGUGCUAUCCUUUUUUUUCUAUACUAUCACUGUUAUUCUUCAUAAUUAUUUUGUCCAUCAAUACAAGGCUAAGUAAAUGCGAUAACACAAAUGGUAACAAUGUUAUCGGAAGUUCGUUGCAUUGAAUGACAAAUUACGGAGCAAGGUUCGUGAUAUGAAAACAAUGAAUUUUUACAAUGUUGCAAUUGCAGAUAAGAUCUUUCUAGGCUUAAACUAAUCUGUUGUCGUCAAGUCGAACGAAAACAACGAUCGCCACAAGCGCCACGACUGUUGCACGUGUCAAGCCCAGCAUUGCACUAGUAGCCUCUCCUGCAAUUGUGUGAUACCUUGCGGAUAUGAAUUCUGUACCGCAGGCAACAACAGAUGACUGGACUGAUUGUGACAACAAACUAUCCGUUCCGGGAUUGUUGUUUUUUUUUUGAGUGUGCGUGUAUUGGAAAACGUUUUAUCCGGUUCAGCUUACUCACCGAGCGACCACGGUUUCGCACAAACGAUCGAUGGAGACAUUCAAGGCAACGGCACGGUCUCGAUAAGUAGCUUAUGCUUAUAAUUACUAAGAUAUUAGUAGAGUACUCUACACUCACUACACUGCACGAAAUAAGUUUUUUUUAAUUAUGUCACAAA
Anopheles gambiae (African malaria mosquito) is the source of this 769-nucleotide long non-coding RNA. RefSeq lists it as uncharacterized. The transcript is spliced from 2 exons. NCBI's taxonomy places the organism in Eukaryota, Metazoa, Arthropoda, Insecta, Diptera, Culicidae. The record is from RefSeq and is a predicted model, not a curated record.